This is a long non-coding RNA of Syzygium oleosum, 3856 nucleotides long. RefSeq lists it as uncharacterized. The transcript has 6 exons. The record is from RefSeq and is a predicted model, not a curated record. NCBI's taxonomy places the organism in Eukaryota, Viridiplantae, Streptophyta, Magnoliopsida, Myrtales, Myrtaceae.
CAAGUUAAUCUCCUAAUUACUCCUCUAAUUUCAAGAGAGUCCACAAGUGAUUGACCCUUUUGGCGCACAACAAUUUCACCGCAGCUGAUUGAUAUUGAAUUGGCCAAAUGCGAACAAAGCAAACGCACAUGAUACAUGGCCGAGACAACAGUCCUCUUGGGCCUUUCAUCUUCCCUUCAAUUUCCCACACUGACUUUUUGAAUCAUCAAACGCUUCCAAAAUCGUUCCCACGAUAGUCAUAAGGCGAUCCACUGUCACAGAGCACGGUUCAAGAAAAGCAAAGACUGGUGGUGACCCAGUAGUCCCCCCAUCAGCAAUGGCUAAAGGCUGUUUCGCCAUGGUCGCUCUUCCGCUUUUUCUUUCAGAAGCUUCUUCCGAGAGGGCUUUCAGCUUUCUCUCUCACUCCAACUGAGCCCAGUUUCGAUUUCUCUACUAGAUGGGACGUCUUUAUUUGAGGUGCAGGCGCCGCCAUGGGCUGGAUUUACGCUACUUGUGCUGUAAUCCACCUGCAUUCUGUUGGUAUAGAAACCAGGAGCCCUUUCUCAUCAAUCGCGUGAAGCUGGAUCCUCUUACUCUUUUGCACCCAAAGCAAAGAAGCCUGCUCACUUAGUGUUGUUGGUCCCCUCUCAUCGAAGUAUUCCAACAGACCUGGAUUAAAGAAGCUCAACUCCAUAUCUUUGAUGUUGGAUGCCCAAGCAUAUCUAACCCAGAUGUCAAUUCUUUUGGUCGAUCCAUCGUAGACAUCAUAAAGGAAAGUCAAUUGGAAUCUGUCCAGGGUGCAACCUGAGUGUAGUAGGAGAGUUCGGUCUACAACAUCUGCAAACAUCCUCCUUGCUACCUUAAUCAAAUGCUUUUGGCAACAAGUAGCAGAAGAAGUCCAAAUGCCCUCACAGAUGGUGCAGUAGAAAUUGCUUCUCAGCAACUUAGCAAUGAUCUCUAUUUCGUUAAUAUUUAGUCGAGAAAUCUUUGUCCAAAGGCAUAGCCGUCCACCGGACGAUAUCCUUAACUGGAGUCCUAUCAAAUAACUCUGUGGCUUUGUCAAGCUGACUGCAUUUCACAUACCCAGAAAUUAUGCUCGUCCAACAGAUAACAAUCUUAGUUGGCAUCUCAUCAAAUAUUUUGCAAGCUAUGUCCAAAUGGCCACAUUUCGAUUACAUUUGAACCUGGAGACUGUUUUUAGGCAGGCUGUCCAUGAGUAGAGGAGGAGAUUCGUGAAGCACUUCCUUAUGUUUAUUGGAAUUGAACGAAGACCUCACUUUUUCGGGGAAAAACAGUGGAAGGGGUGGACAGUACUACAUUUUCUCGAGAGAUGGGGAUGGGAAUUCUUGCUCAUAAUUGAUGAAUGUGGAAUGCCACCAUGCAAGAGAAGUCCUGUAUUCAAUUAGUGAGUUGUGAUAUGUAGUCAAUUUGAUCCUGUUAUAAAAAGCAUGAACGAAACGAUACAGUUAAGAUGCCUGUUGAUUUUUUGGCUUCAACUGACUUGACUGAACUGGGAUUUUUCCCUGCAUAGUAUCUGAAGAAUUAAGAUUUAAUAAAAGAAACAAAUGUAAUUGACAGAUGUCUACAAGUAUUUUGUUAGGGAUGGCAAAGCAUAUUUACUCAUUUUUUGGGGACUUACAUGUACGCAUCAACCUGAAUGCAACCUAUUCAUCAUAACUCUGGGAGAUGGAUCCAUAUUCCUUACUAUUAAAAUGGACCGCUUGACACUAUUUGAAGGCUUAGUCUGUAACUUACAUUUUGCAAUCACACAGCUCCAAUGGGCAAUUUUGCAAGAACGUCUGAAUAAUGAACUCUUUCAUUUUCAUUCCUGAAUAGUAUAAGUAAGCAUUAAUGAUGUUAUCUCGAAUCCAACCAAUCGUAAGAAGGUGAUUGUUAUUACUCUUUGACCAAUUGGCUGACUUGGUAUAAAUAUUAAGCGAUGUUAGGAAACCUUAGAGGUAGCAUAUAAAUGCCAAAAUAGGUCAAAACUGAGUAGGUUUUUGACUCAACUCAUGAGCAUCCAACCUUGGUGGGCCAAUCGUAUGUUCCUUUCUUAGUGAUUGACUGAACAUCAUUUGUAAAUAAUAUGAAAGACUAUCUUUAAACGUGUUGAGUACCAUUUGUAGCUCUAAUGAAAAGAUGACCAUUUGUUUUGAUUUGCAUUAGCAUCGCUAAGAAACUGCUAAUUAAUAUAGAUGAUCUUACUUUUAUGGGAUGUGAGGCAGUGCAAUAUCAUGUGUAUUGCAUGCUUUCUGCAGAAGAAGCAGCGUACCAUCUAUCAUACUGUUUCUUGCUUAGCCUUUGCUUGGUGUCUCAAGUGAUCAAGAUCGGAUCCUUAAAACAUUCAGGGGAAAGGAUGUUGAAAUCAAGAUAAGAUAUUUUGACGAAUGUGUGAAGAUAAGUUUUCCGUGGAUGAAUUUUGCCAUGUUGUGAAUUGAAAGCAUAUUAAAGAACAAAAAUGAUCUAUGAUGCUCACGAAUGGUAAUAAAUUUCCAUCAUUUGUGGUUUGAGGAUACAUUGAAGGUUGUGAUGGAGGCUUAGGGAAACAACAUAGUUAAUGCUGGAUUGAAGAUUUCUUUCCUCUGUACAUGACACUUACUGCAGCAUACUUACCUUAUUUGAACUAGAAGUCCAUCUUUUAAUGACCGUAGCUUGUUUGUCUUUUCUCCAUGCUUCAUAAGAUUUUUCAACCAGUUCCAUGUUAUAAAUCACCUCUGUCGCCCUUCUGACUGGCUGGAGGAAUGCCUAAUCAAUUAGUUUGUUACUCUACUUUGCACCUUUGGUCCAUUUUCUGAAGCAAGACCCUCUGUGAGUAAUGAAUGACUCUUUUCAUCUGAGAAACUUCCAGGCUGUAAAAUUUGCAUAUGUCAGUGUGCUCACUCUCCUUUAUUCACUUAAUGGAUGCUGAUUCACGAUGCCUCAUGCUAGUCCUGACAUAAAUAUUCUUGGAAUAAGCUGGCAAAGGAAAAUCUUGCUUAUUUGGGUAAUAAGCCAGAGGCUGGGUUGAAAUGAGAAACCCUCCAAUUGGCAUUUGGCUUCGAUUAUUCAACUAUACAAUACUAUAAUUUGAAUGGGCAGAUGGAGAUAUACAAAUUUUCAGCGAAGAUGCAGUGAUGUGCAUGUUCAAAAAAAUUAAAAGGAUAAGUGCUUGCGUAUUGCUCUGUCACUAGGAUAUGCAUUGCAAACAUUGCCUUGGAGAAAAUUUUCUCCACAAGCUCCUUUAAUCGCUGUUGAUGUGUUUGUGAAGUUGUGGGUAGCUACACCAACAUCAGCUGUUGUGGAAACUGCUUCUGGAGAAAGUUUUCUCCGCUGGCAUUGUUUCUAAGAACUGUCCCUAUCAAUCUCAAUAUUGCUUCAAUUAUCUAUAGGAGAAAGCAUCUAUUAGACGACCUUGAGAGAUUUUCCUGUUCUUUAGUUCAGUAGAUUGAAAUGACUCCAGAUGGUUUUGAUCUGUGCUCUUAAUCUAUGGCUAAUGAUCUCCGCUGUUGGCUGCAGUGAGUCAGCGACCGCUAUAAACUGCGGCAAGCCUAGGACCUGCUAUGUGUAAUAUCACUGGAAUACUCCGUGGAAUUGAUUUUCUUUCUCAAUAGUAGUUUCUCCAAUUCAUCUUCUACCAUAUCUUCUGGAUCAUUUUCACACCUGCUGCAUAGUGACCUUCCCAAGUCAUCGCCACCAUUUUGGAGUAUCUUGUCUGUUAGAAUUCAUGUGAUUAAUGAGAAGCCACGAGACAUGGACUCUUUGCCUCCUUUGUAUAUCACUGAGUUUGUUAGGUCUGUAGUAAGAUCGGCUGCUGUCGUGCAUACCGUGGCCUCUGGCAAGUGUUGUUGAUAUCUCAGAGCUAAUAAAAAGAUGUCACGUAUGCCUUCUCCUAUCAUAA